AAAGACUUCAAUUUCAUGUAGAGACACCUUGUGCAAGUGUGAGACAAGGCCUUUCCUGAGAGGACCUGGAGAAGAACUCAAGUGAGGCAAAGGAUGGUGAAGAACCAGAGACAGGGAACCUUUUAUCAGGUAAUGUUACAUUUGAUUAAAUGGGUGCCUGUUUAAAUACAACCAUGUGGCUGCAUUGCUGAACUCUGGGAAAUGAGUUAGAGCCAAACACGGAACUUCUACCCUGCCUUCCUGUGGGUGGAUGGUUGUACCAGUCGAGACCUAACUGGUUUCCUCCAAGACCAGCAAUCCCAAACCAGAGGAACUGUAUGAACCGCUACGCACUUACUCAGGAAACAUGAUAAAAGACACUAUGGUAAUAGUUGUAGUUCUUAGUCAGGAAACUUAGUAAAAGUCUGUGAUUAAGAGG
Molecule: long non-coding RNA, 418 nt
Filed under: Anser brachyrhynchus (Pink-footed goose)
Lineage: Eukaryota; Metazoa; Chordata; Aves; Anseriformes; Anatidae
Description: lncRNA (ENSABRG00000009668.1)
Source: RNAcentral